UACGGGGGGCGCGAGCGUUAAUCGGAAUAACUGGGCGUAAAGGGCACGCAUGCGGACUUUUAAGUGAGGUGUGAAAUCCCCGGGCUUAACCUGGGAAUUGCACUUCAUACUGGGAGUCUAGAGUACUUUAGGGAGGGGUAGAAUUCCACGUGUAGCGGUGAAAUGCGUAGAGAUGUGGAGGAAUACCGAAGGCGAAGGCAGCCCCUUGGGAAUGUACUGACGCUCAUGUGCGGAAGCGUGGGGAGCAAACAGG
This 253-nucleotide ribosomal RNA is filed under the name uncultured bacterium. RNAcentral's name for it is "partial 16S ribosomal RNA". It matches the Rfam family "Bacterial small subunit ribosomal RNA", at positions 524 to 776 of the family's 1533-position model. The record is from RNAcentral.